RNAcentral lists this ribosomal RNA (222 nucleotides) under uncultured bacterium. Its description in RNAcentral is "partial 16S ribosomal RNA". It matches the Rfam family "Bacterial small subunit ribosomal RNA", at positions 57 to 305 of the family's 1533-position model. The record is from RNAcentral.
GCAAGUCGAGCGCUCACCUUCGGGUGGGAGCGGCGGACGGGUUAGUAACGCGUGGGAACAUACCCUUCACUAUGGAAUAGCCUCGGGAAACUGAGAGUAAUACCAUAUACGCCCUUCGGGGGAAAGAUUUAUCGGUGAAGGAUUGGCCCGCGUUAGAUUAGAUAGUUGGUGGGGUAAUGGCCUACCAAGGCAGCGAUGGUUAGCUGGUCUGAGAGGAUGAUC